AUGAAAGUUGGAAAACAAACUCAAUCAGUCCAAGCACGGGGACAACAUACUUACGCUUCUAAGGAAGAAGAAAUUGCUGCAAAUGCGAAACGAUGGAUGAGCGAGGAGGCGAUGGUGGCUUUCACAAGAUACAUUGAGAGCAAAGAUGAUCUUAAGGGACUUGAUUAUGAAUUUGACGAGCUUGUCCAUCAAUGUCUUAAUGUGGAGGAUUAUUUAAAGAUAUUCCAUCACUUCAACUUUACUGUCAAGAUAAAGAAGCUUGGCUCAGCUGAUUGGAUGUCGGUGAUGUACUUCGCCGAGGUCAAAUCGAUAUGUAUGAUAAAACUCUAUGCCUGUUAUCCUUUGGGGCAAGAUCAAUAUGGUAAAUGUUAUGCCCGUGAGAACCAAGGAAUGGGUGAACUGAGGCACCCGUUAAAAGGGAUAUACGAUAUGGGCAGGGAAGAUAUACAACCUCCCUUCUAUUAUGAGGACAGUGACUCUGAUGAAUUCGAUCCAGCAACAGUCCGGAGUUUAUCUUCUGAUGAUGAUAUGAGUUGA
Molecule: ribosomal RNA, 537 nt
Filed under: Triticum aestivum (bread wheat)
Lineage: Eukaryota; Viridiplantae; Streptophyta; Magnoliopsida; Poales; Poaceae
Description: partial small subunit ribosomal RNA
Source: RNAcentral